Molecule: ribosomal RNA, 201 nt
Filed under: Staphylococcus aureus
Lineage: Bacteria; Bacillati; Bacillota; Bacilli; Caryophanales; Staphylococcaceae
Description: partial 23S ribosomal RNA
Rfam family: Bacterial large subunit ribosomal RNA
Source: RNAcentral
GAUUAAGUUAUUAAGGGCGCACGGUGGAUGCCUUGGCACUAGAAGCCGAUGAAGGACGUUACUAACGACGAUAUGCUUUGGGGAGCUGUAAGUAAGCUUUGAUCCAGAGAUUUCCGAAUGGGGAAACCCAGCAUGAGUUAUGUCAUGUUAUCGAUAUGUGAAUACAUAGCAUAUCAGAAGGCACACCCGGAGAACUGAAAC